This 1997-nucleotide long non-coding RNA is filed under the name Oryctolagus cuniculus (rabbit). RNAcentral describes it as "lncRNA (ENSOCUG00000032451.1)". Lineage: Eukaryota; Metazoa; Chordata; Mammalia; Lagomorpha; Leporidae. The record is from RNAcentral.
AUGCUAUAUUCCAAGUCCAUGAAGAAAGUGAGACUGGCAGAGGUCAAACACUGUAAGGGAAAGAUUCAGAGCUUGGGUUCAAAGCCAGGCCUCUCUGCUCACCAAGCCCAUUCUCCUUCCUCCCUAGGCCUGGCUGGAAACUGCCUGUCGUCUGCAGAAGAGCCUCCGCGUCAGAGUAUGUUCCCGGGAGUAGAAGUGUCACAGUCGCAGACGCAGAUGCCAGGGCUCCUGCUUGGUACACACACCCUGAAAUCCGCGGUGCGCAGAAUCACAGACCUGCGCGUGCCCCUACAGAUCAGAAACCAAGGCGCGCUGAGCAAGCUGCGCCUGUGCACGCCUGCUGCGAGCCACCUGCCUGGUGCACGCCUGCCGGGAGCCCUGGGCAGCAGGGGUAGGCCCCGGCCUGGCAGGACGCCGGUGCCUGCUGGUGUUCUCGGCUGCCUCUCCUGUUCUCCGUGGGGAGCGUAGGUGGUUGUGCAGUGCCAAGGCCACUCCUCUUUGAAACAAAACAGCACAUUUGACUUGGAACUGGCCCCAAUCCCCUUUUUCAACUGGGCUGCUGCAAGACACGGAACGGUGUCAGCCAGACCCACGCUUUCAGCUCCUGCAGGGUUGCUAUCUGCACUUGAGCCUGCACUCCCUGCAGCUGCAGCCCGGGGCGCCCUUCUCCCCUGCCUCCCCUUCCCGCAGGCCACUGCCGCCGGCGCACCCCCCAUCCGCCGACCUCUCUCUCUGCCGGGGUGUUUCCUCUCUGUGUUCAGGUCUCACACUGACGGUAGCUGAGGUCACGCAGACCCCCGAGGCGUCCUACCGCUUGGCAGGACCUGGACCCGGCUCAUGCUGGAUGCCGAUCGUCUGUUCCAUCGUUACUCCUUCAGACCGUUCAGACCGUGGCUACAACGUGCAAGAGUCAACACAAUAUGUUUUUUUUUUUUUUUGACAGUCAGAGUGGACAGUGAGAGAGAGAGAGAGAAAGGUCUUCCUUUUGCCGUUGGUUCACCUUCAAUGGCCGCCACGGUGGGCGCGAUGCGGCCGGUGCACCGCGCUGAUCCGAUGGCAGGAGCCAGGUGCUUCUCCUGGUCUCCCAUGGGGUGCAGGGCCCAAGCACUUGGGCCAUCCUCCACUGCACUCCCGGGCCACAGCAGAGAGCUGGCCUGGAAGAGGGGCAACCGGGACAGAAUCCGGCGCCCCAACCGGGACUAGAACCUGGUGUGCCGGCGCCGCAAGGCGGAGGAUUAGCCUAGUGAGCCGCGGCGCCGGCCACAAUAUGCUUUUCCAAAUGGCAUCUGUACUGAACACUGACAGCUUUCUUCUUGCCGUGACUCCCUAAGUAACGUAAAGCAGGUAGUAACACUGACAUAGGUCCACAGAAGGAAUCUGGACAUGAUUGAAAGCAUGCCAGGUGCAGCCAGUUAAACUGCGCCUGUGACAGCAGCUUCCAAUAUGGACACCGGUUCGAGUCCCGGUUGCUCCACUUUCUAUCCAGCUCCCUGCUAAUGUCCCUGGGAAAGCAGUGGAAGAUGCCCCAGGUGCUUGUGGGUUCCGCAUCUGCAUGGGAGACCCAGAAGAAGCUCCUGGCUCCUGUCUUCCACCUGGAAGAUUCUCUCUCUCUCUCUCUCUCUCUCUCUCUCUCAGAUCCCCCCCAUCACUCUGCUUUUCAAAUAAGUAAUCAACACAUAUUUAUUCUUAGGUGUUGAAAUUUAACUGAAAUGUGAUCCCUGUUAAACAUAAGAGUGGGAAUAAGAGAGGGAAGAGAUGUAUAAUUUGGGACAUGCUCAAGCUGACUUGCCCCAAAUGGUAGAGUUAGAAACAUACCAGGGGAUUCCAAUUCAAUCCCAUCAAGGUGGCAUGUACCAAUGCCAUCUUACUAGUCCAAGUGAUCAAUUUCAGUUCACAAUUGAUCAUAAUGAAAGGACUAAGAGUCAAAGGGAGCACAUAAACAAGUCUAGUACCUGCUAACACUAACCGAUAGAAUAAAUAAAGGGGAGAGUGAUCCA